This 199-nucleotide ribosomal RNA is filed under the name uncultured bacterium. RNAcentral's name for it is "partial 16S ribosomal RNA". It matches the Rfam family "Bacterial small subunit ribosomal RNA", at positions 328 to 539 of the family's 1533-position model. The record is from RNAcentral.
ACGCUCGACACCUACUGGAGGCAGCAGUGGGGAAUAUUGCACAAUGGGGGAAACCCUGAUGCAGCGACGCCGCGUGGAGGAAGAAGGUCUUCGGAUUGUAAACUCCUGUUGUUGGGGAAAAAGAGGAUGGUACCCAACAAGGAAGUGACGGCUAACUACGUGCCAACAGCCCGCGGUAAUCUGAGCGGGCUGGCAAGGC